This 346-nucleotide small RNA is filed under the name Histoplasma capsulatum. Its description in RNAcentral is "hypothetical RNA". Lineage: Eukaryota; Fungi; Ascomycota; Eurotiomycetes; Onygenales; Ajellomycetaceae. The record is from RNAcentral. RNAcentral also lists the same sequence under 1 other name.
GCUGCAGACAGUACACCAGGGUCCGUGGGGAUUUUUAGCGGGCUGCUCCGUCAGUGCCAUCGGCUUUCUGCUGGAGCCCAACGGGAGAUGAUGACUUCUUGGUGGCGAUUCUAGGUAGGCUAGCUAAUCGCUGUCUUCUUUCUGAGAGAAAAAUGACCAAUAGGUCAUGGUGUUCUUAUAUAAUCUUAUUGAAUGAACUCUAUCGAUAGGUUCACUUCACGAUUUCUGCCUCCGUCGAUAGAGCUCAAAGUAUUCUUUCUGUAACCGUACAAAGGAUAUCAGCAUAGUUCAUCGAUAAUGGUAUAUUUUAUUAUAUGAGCAAAUGAAUGCAAAUUCUGUCAGUGUU